AAGGCGAUGACGGGUAGCCGGCCUGAGAGGGCGACCGGCCACACUGGGACUGAGACACGGCCCAGACUCCUACGGGAGGCAGCAGUGGGGAAUAUUGCACAAUGGGCGAAAGCCUGAUGCAGCGACGCCGCGUGAGGGAUGACGGCCUUCGGGUUGUAAACCUCUUUCAGCAGGGACGAAGCGCAAGUGACUGUACCUGCAGAAGAAGCACCGGCUAACUACGUGCCAGCAGCCGCGGUAAUACGUAGGGUGCGAGCGUUGUCCGGAUUUAUUGGGCGUAAAGAGCUUGUAGGCGGCUCGUCACGUCGGGUGUGAAAACUCGCGGCUCAACCGCGAGCCUGCACCCGAUACGGGCGAGCUAGAGUUCGGCAGGGGAGACUGGAAUUCCUGGUGUAGCGGUGGAAUGCGCAGAUAUCAGGAGGAACACCGGUGGCGAAGGCGGGUCUCUGGGCCGAUACUGACGCUGAGAAGCGAAAGCGUGGGGAGCGAAC
Molecule: ribosomal RNA, 491 nt
Filed under: uncultured Actinomycetes bacterium
Lineage: Bacteria; Bacillati; Actinomycetota; Actinomycetes
Description: bacterial SSU rRNA
Rfam family: Bacterial small subunit ribosomal RNA
Source: RNAcentral